UACGAAGGGGGCUAGCGUUGCUCGGAAUCACUGGGCGUAAAGGGUGCGUAGGCGGGGCUUUAAGUCAGGGGGGAAAUCCUGGAGCUCAACUCCAGAACUGCCUUUGAUACUGAGGAUCUUGAGUUCGGGAGAGGUGAGUGGAACUGCGAGUGUAGAGGUGAAAUUCGUAGAUAUUCGCAAGAACACCAGUGGCGAAGGCGGCUCACUGGCCCGAUACUGACGCUGAGGCACGAAAGCGUGGGGAGCAAACGGG
This 253-nucleotide ribosomal RNA is filed under the name uncultured bacterium. RNAcentral's name for it is "partial 16S ribosomal RNA". It matches the Rfam family "Bacterial small subunit ribosomal RNA", at positions 524 to 776 of the family's 1533-position model. The record is from RNAcentral.